This 468-nucleotide ribosomal RNA is filed under the name uncultured bacterium. RNAcentral's name for it is "partial 16S ribosomal RNA". It matches the Rfam family "Bacterial small subunit ribosomal RNA", at positions 28 to 507 of the family's 1533-position model. The record is from RNAcentral.
GACGAACGCUGGCGGCGUGCUUAACACAUGCAAGUCGAACGGAAAGGCCCUGCUUUUGUGGGGUGCUCGAGUGGCGAACGGGUGAGUAACACGUGAGUAACCUGCCCUUGACUUUGGGAUAACUUCAGGAAACUGGGGCUAAUACCGGAUAGGAGCUCCUGCUGCAUGGUGGGGGUUGGAAAGUUUCGGCGGUUGGGGAUGGACUCGCGGCUUAUCAGCUUGUUGGUGGGGUAGUGGCUUACCAAGGCUUUGACGGGUAGCCGGCCUGAGAGGGUGACCGGGCACAUGGGGACUGAGAGACGGCCCAGACGCCAACGGGAGGCAGCAGUGGGGAAUAUUGCACAAUGGGAGGAAGCCUGAGGAAGAAACGCCGGGUGCGGGAUGACGGCCUUCGGGUUGUAAACAGCUUUCGCCUGUGACGAGGCGUGAGUGACGGUAAUGGGUAAAGAAGCACCGGCUAACUACGUG